RNAcentral lists this ribosomal RNA (497 nucleotides) under uncultured bacterium. RNAcentral's name for it is "partial 16S ribosomal RNA". It matches the Rfam family "Bacterial small subunit ribosomal RNA", at positions 28 to 507 of the family's 1533-position model. The record is from RNAcentral.
GAUGAACGCUGGCGGCGUGCCUAAUACAUGCAAGUCGAGCGAACAGACGAGGAGCUUGCUCCUCUGACGUUAGCGGCGGACGGGUGAGUAACACGUGGAUAACCUACCUAUAAGACUGGGAUAACUUCGGGAAACCGGAGCUAAUACCGGAUAAUAUAUUGAACCGCAUGGUUCAAUGGUGAAAGACGGUUUUGCUGUCACUUAUAGAUGGAUCCGCGCCGCAUUAGCUAGUUGGUAAGGUAACGGCUUACCAAGGCAACGAUGCGUAGCCGACCUGAGAGGGUGAUCGGCCACACUGGAACUGAGACACGGUCCAGACUCCUACGGGAGGCAGCAGUAGGGAAUCUUCCGCAAUGGGCGAAAGCCUGACGGAGCAACGCCGCGUGAGUGAUGAAGGUCUUCGGAUCGUAAAACUCUGUUAUUAGGGUAGAACAAAUGUGUAAGUAACUAUGCACGUCUUGACGGUACCUAAUCAGAAAGCCACGGCUAACUACGUG